This 18614-nucleotide long non-coding RNA is filed under the name Ananas comosus (pineapple). Its description in RNAcentral is "long non-coding RNA (ACOM_LNC014603)". The record is from RNAcentral. Lineage: Eukaryota; Viridiplantae; Streptophyta; Magnoliopsida; Poales; Bromeliaceae.
UAAGUUCUUAUUGGUCGACAUGUAUAGAUCUUGAUUUCGGUAAAUUGUGUUAGCUCAAAUUCAUGGACUAUAUGUAGAUUGUGAAAUCUGAAUUUUGGAGCAUGUUUUAUAAAUUAAGUAGAUUAUACAUGUUGGACUUGGAAAUUGAAUUAGGAGAAAACCUGCGAUUUGGACCUGUCACCAGUUUUAACUACCUGAUUUAGCUCUAGGAGCCGUUAGAAAAUUGUACUGUCGCAGUUUCUUCGAGACGAGUACUCCAGGUAGUUUAGAAUGUAUUUACACUCGUGCUGGUUCGCCGAGUGGAUUUUUACAGGGUCGUUCAGGUCGUUUCGGACUGUUGGGUGCCGUCAGAGUUGACGGUGGACCCGUAUCGCCUUUUUGGCGUCAGAUUGUGCCGAGGGCACGUUACCUGUUGGUUGUUAGACCAGUUUGAGUCGAUUACUUGACUUUGGCUAGUUGGAGCCUGAUUGAGCUCGACAGAGAUACGCUGCAUACUCGGUUGGGUAGCGCCCACGAGUGCCACUCCGGAGUCAGGCUUGUGCUUUUGCGUUGGUGUCGCUCAUGCCAGUUGGACUUGCUCUCCACGGACCAGUUAGAGUGGAUAGAGCCCGAUAGUCGCAACGGGGCAGGGACGGGUGUAUUCACAGUCCCGGGGACGGGUAUGCUUACAGUCCCGAUUGGAUUGGGUCAGAUUUGACAUUUCCUACAGUUGGUUAGUGUAGAGCAUGAUAGUGUAGUGGAUGAUAGCGGUAGAGUAUGCUUCCUGCUUUCCUUCUAUCCUUGCUCCCUUCUGUAGACUUAGUGGGUGACCGAUGUUGUUUUGGGCGGUACCCACUGAGGACUACUUGUUUUUACAGUAGUUCUCACGCCCAGUUGUUACCUAUGUUUUUGCAGAGCCACAGGUUCCGGCUGCUGCACCGUCUGCGGACCAGGAUCGAGGCAAGGGCGUCGCGAGUUAGAGCCCUACCCGACGUGCUGAGCUAGAGGUGCCCUACUGCAGGUAGAUGUUUUGUUUCGAGUUUAUGUACAUAGUUGACUUAACUCGCCAGUGCGAGUAGCUCUGUAUUUUAGAUCUGAACUAUGUAUAUGAAACUCUGUUUUAUUUAGCUUCAGUUUUCUCUAGCAGCUCUCUACUACUGUUCGUAGUAGUGUUUGAUUUACAAGUACAGCUAUCGCUUCGUAUACAGGAAAAAUUUUUUUGUAUACGGCGGAUUUGUCGGCGUGCCCGGGAAACGUGUAAUCCGGGACGUGACAAUAUAAUGGAGAGAGAAUGAAACAUUGGAUACCCAACGUUUCCAACAUCCCACUUAAUUCAUGCCUUUAUGUGGCAUAAAGAAGAAAUAAAUUUAAUUUAAUUAAUCUAAUUAAUUAACAUAAUAAAAGAUAAUAAAUGAGAAUAAUUAUAAAAUUAAAUGAUAUUUAGAGAUUUUGGAUUUUCUCCAACAAUUUGUUAUAGAAAUAUCCAACCUUAUAUAUUCAUUCAUCAUAGGUUUAAUAUCCGAUAUGGGACUAUUCUUAAUCUCGAGAUGUUAUAAAAGACUAUAUUUUUAAUAUCCGAUAUGGGACUAUUCUUAAUCUCGAGAUGUUAUAAAAGACUAUAUUUUUACUGGAUAGAAAGUAACAAUAGGAUAUUCAAAGGAAAUUCCAAUUGUAGUGUCACGCCCCGGAUUAUUCGUUUUUUCGAGCACGCCAACAGACUCGCCGUAUACAUAGAAAUUUUUCCUGUAUACGAAGCGAAGCCGUACUGAAUCUGUAAAUAAACAACACUACAACCAGUAGUAUAGAGCUGCUAGAAGAACCGGUAUAUAAUAAAAAUGGAUCAGUAGAUACACAGUAUCCUGAUACAAAGCACUUGCUCCAGCGAGUUAUAACAUCAGUAUGUAAUGAACCAAAAACUACAACUACCUGUAGCUGGUGCUCCACUAACUCGUCAGCUCGUCUGGUAGGGCUCUAAUUCGCAACGCCUUUGCCACGAUCAGUCUCAGAGAGUGCAACAGCCGGAAUAGCAGGCUCUGUAAAAGAGAGGUAACAACAGGGCGUGAGAACUACUGUAAAAAUAAGUAGUCCUCAAUGGGUGCCGCCCUCAAUAUCAUUGGUCCGCCCACUAAGUCUAUAGAAGUAAGCAGAGAUAGUAGAAAAUGCUGGAAUAAAUCUAUAGCUAAAUGCCACUACACUAUCAUGCUCUAAAACUAACUAUCUGUAGAAAAUAAAUUCUGACACAAUCUCACUAGGAACUGUAAGCAUACCCGUCCCAGGGACUGUAAACACACCCGUCCCGCAUGUUGAAGCUAAAGCUACCUCCACCACUAAGCAGUCCGUGGAAAGCAAGUCCAACCAGAACAUAACGACACCAACGCAAACGCGCAAAACCCGACUCCGGAGUGGCACUCGUGGGCGCUACCCAACCGAGUAUGCAAGCGUAUCUCUGUCGAGCUCAAUCAGAUUCUUGCAGGCUAUAGUCAAGUAAACAGGGUCUAACUGGUCUAACAACCGAAACACACGUGCUCUCGGCACAAUCUGAUACUACAUCAGUAAUCUGGGUCCACCGUCAACCUCAACAGCACCCAACAGUCCGGAACAGUCUGAACAGUAAAAGUAGGCUCGGCAUCCCAGCACGAGCGUAACUGCACUCUAAACUACCUGAGGUAUCCACCGCUCUGAAACUGCGAUGAUACAAUCGAACCACGGCUCCUAGAGCUAAAUAUGAUAGUUUAAGCAUAUGACGGGUAAAAUCGCGAUUUUCUCCUAAGUCUCAUCCAAGUCCAACAUGUAUAAAUGUUCUAAAAUUGCUACUUGAUGCUCCAAACUCAGAUUCUACAUAUAGGCAUGCAAUUCACAAGUUCGAGCUAAACAAACAAGAUAUACGAAGAUCAUCAAUACAUGCUGUCAACUAGGCUUAGAAGAGAAGUCCGAUGAUUAACCCACCUCGAAAGCUACUCCAAAACCGGCACGACGUCGAGAACGGCGGUAUCACACCCUCUCCCAGCCUCCCCGCGACGCUACUACGACGAACGUGCACUUGAACGGCACCGCGGCGCGACGUCGGCGACAAUCCAACACCACCCGAGCUCCUCCACCACGUACGAUCCAAGCUAGAGAGAGAGAGGAGAAUAAGAACAGUGAGAAGCUCCCUCUCAGCUCUCUCACACGUAUAAGGAGUGGGAGAGAGGGUGACACAAAUGAGGCAAGAAAAGACUAAUUUGCCCUCUCACCUACCCUGAUGUACCGGUAUAUGAGCGUUUGUACCGGUACAAAUGGCAACCCGAGUGCAGCUGCGCGGAAACAGGCGAAGUGUAUCGGUACACCCCCAAUGUUGUACCGGUACAGAAAAUGCACCGGUACACUUCUGAUGUUGUACUGGUACAACAAGCAGAAAAUCUGCAAUUUGCAGAUUCCAAAGCUAACUCCUGCUCUCGCGUCCCCACUGAGUUUGUUUUGCGUCUAUUUCGCGCCAAACGCAACUCGGACUUGUCCCGACACUCUCACGACGUGUCGAUAAGCCUCAACCGUUGUACACCAGGGAUACUACAUGUAGAGUCUUUUUACUUGAAAAAAAUCAAUCCUUUUGUAUCUCUAUAGGCUGAUAAUCUUAUCGCAGUUAAGAAAAAGAGAGAGUAUAUAUAGAUGGAGACUUAAAAGAAGAAAGAGUGUAUUGACAGCUCCACCAGAUUAUCAGCAACUGUAAAAUAAUAAGUAUUUUGAAUGUUGGCAGGAAAAGAAUUAAUGGGGAUAUAAUUAGCUUUUCACAAUAGUUUAAUUUUUUUCUAGUUUCAGCUGGAUUGUGAGCUAUCUAAUGGUAUGUUAUAUGUUGCGAUGUUGGAUAUAUACAUGUGGUUUGCCCUUUAUUUAUUUACUCUGUGUACGUUGUAGUAUGUAAUAGUUUGCAAAAAAAAUUGGUUGAGAGUAAUUUUAUCUUCAGUUUUUACUAUAUAAAUAUAUAUAUAAAACUAUGGUACUAUACUAUUAAUAGCACCAAGUAAUUGCUGCUAUUAAAUUUUUAGUCUUAGAUAAAAGGAUGUGUGAUUAGGAGAUAGUGGUCCUUUAGAUAUUGUUUGGUUUGGAUAUAAGAAAGAACUGUCAAUUUCAGAAAUAGGUAUAAAUUCAAGUAUAAGUAAGAAUUAGACCAAUUUUGUGUUUGGUUGAAAAAUGGAUUGUUCCCGGAGAUAAGAAAAAUAACGUUUGGAUAGAUAAGAUAAAAUAAAAAGAAGAGUGGAUAGUUAAAUAAAAAAUAAUAAUUUUACCACUCUCAUUAUAUUUGAAUUUGAAUUUUCAAAUUUUAUAUUUAUAUUUUUUAGUUUAAAAUUUUAACAUUUAAAUUUCAAAUUUUGAAACUAAAAUUCAAAAUUUAAAAUCUCAAACUUUAAAUUCAAAAUCAUAAAUUUUAAAUUCCAAACUUUAUAUUUAAGAUCAAAUUUAAAUUUAAAAAUAUAAAAUAUAAAAUUUUAAAUUUUAAAAAUUUAAAAUAUUAAAAUUUAAAUUUAAAUUUUAAAAUUUAGAAUCUAAGAUUAUAAACUUUAAUUUAGAGAUUACAAAAUAUAAAUUUUAAAAAUUUAAAUUUAAAUUUUUAAAUUUUAAAAUUUAAAAAUUUUAUGUAGUGUUUCUGAGCUUUGGAUAGGAUUNAAUUUAAAAUUAUAAACUUUAAUUUUGAGAUUACAAAUUAUAAAUUUUAAAAAUUUAAAGUUUAAAUUUUAAAAUAAGAAUAGGGGUGGCAACAAUUAAUACAAAUAAUUUAUUAUAAUAUUUAAAUAUAAUUUAUUAUAAUAUUUAAAUAUAAAUGAUACGUACUAAUAUAUUGCAUUUAAUAAUUUUAUUAUAAAAAUAAUAUAUUAUAAUAUAUAACAUAUUAUAUUUAUAUAAUUUAUUUUUAAUUUAAUUUAUAAUUUUAAUAAAGUUUGAAAUUAAAAUUAGAAUAGCAGUAUUCUACCAAUGGUGAAAUAGUAAAUUUCAAACUAUUUCGGGAUAGCCGAGAAUAGCAGGGUUUGACCGGAAUAAAAUAUUCCGGCCAAAAAUCAUCCCGUUUGGUAGAAUAGCGGAGAUAAUUUUUGUAGUAUCCUAGGGAUUUGUUGCCCGUGAGAUUUUAGCAUCUGAGACUUGUGGACACAUCUAGAGAGUGUUGAGACAAGUCCGAGUCGUUUGGGCGCGAAAUGGACGCAAUACGGACUCAGUGCGAUGCGAGAGCAGAGUCGUGGCACAGAAAUCUGCAAAGUGCAUGUUUCAGAAUUUAGUACCGGUACCACGCAGGGGAGUACCGGUACCCCAGUGCGUUGGCAGAACAGUCUGCUCUCGGGUUGCGCCUAACUGAUGCUGAGUACCGGUACUGCAUCGGGUCAGUACAGGUACCGAGGCCGAGUACCGGUACUGCAUCGGAUGAGUACCAGUACCCAAUGUGCGAAGCUGCGGGCUGAAAGCCCGAGUACCGGUAACCAAAUCUGGUACCGGUACUCUAGUUGGACUUUUGAGUCGGUAAAGGGCAUCUCGGUCUCACCCACCUCUUUAUAUGCUCACAGAGAGAGAGAGUUUGUGAGUCCUUCUCCAUUCCUUCUCUCUUUCGUUGGUGGACCCGUACGUGCUGGAGGACGCGGUUUGAGCUCGGAUCGACGUCAACGUUGCGCCGGAGAGCCGUUCGAGCGAGUAGGCGUCGCGGUUGCGUCGUUGGAGGCUGGGCGAGCGCGGGUUUUCCAUUUUUUUCGACUUCUUGCUGUUGUUGGACGAGCGUUUUGAGGUGGGUUGAAGUUUACCAAAAUCGUCGGAUUUCUUCCUAAGCCUAGUUGUUGUCAGCAUGUAAACUUCAUGUAUAGUAUUAUGUUAUAUGCUCGAUUCGCCGAUUUGCAUGGUUUUUAUGUGGAAUCUGAAUUGGUGCUUCUUUAAAUACUAGAAUUAUUUUCAUGUUGGACUUGGAAUUGACUUAGGACAAAACUAUUGAAUUUACACUAUCAUUUCUGAAAACUACUAGAUUUUGUUUUAGGAGCUGUAGUUUACUUAUAUCGUCACUGUUUGUAGGCGGUGGAUACCCAAAAUAGUGUAGGAUGAGUUUACGCUCGAGCUGGGAUGCCGAGUUUAUUUUACAGUAGUAUGUAGACUGUUUUGAACUGUUGGGUGCUGACUCGGUUCACGGUGGACUCAGAUUUCUGUUUUGCAUCAGAUUGUGUCAGGGGCAAUUGUGAGUUGGUUGGUAGACCAGUUAGACAUUUUUCUUUGACUAUAGCCUGUGAGAGUUUGAUUGAGCUCGACAGAGACACGCUUGCAUACUCGGUUGGGUAGCGCCCCGGAGUGCCACUCCGAAGUCGGGUUUUGUGCGUUCGCGUAGCUGUCGUAGGGUCCGGUGGGACUUGCUCUUCACCAACUACCUAGUGUGGAGGUGGUUGGUGACGCUUUAGCAGGUAGGACGGGUACGUUCACAGUCCUUAGUGAGAUUGGGUUAUAGAUUGCAUGUUGCCUAUAUCUACAGAUAGCUAUUGUUGAUUAGCGAUAGUAUAGUGUGUAAGUUUUAAGGAGCCCAAAGAUCUAUCUAGAUUGUAUCAAACACCUAGAGGGGGGUAAAUAGGUGUAAAAGCCAAAAAUCGCAAAUCUCAAUGCGAUAAAAAUAAAUGCGAAAAAUAAAAAUCACACCGAGAUUUACGUGAAAAAACUCCAACUUGGAGUAAAAAACCCACGGGACCAACACGUAAAAAAAUAAUUCACUAAGAGAAAAUAUUACAAGGUGAUUACCGACUCUACGGACUCGACCUCUCUUGACCUCCUAUGAAUCUUCGCGCUACCCUCCGGGUUGUCCACGCCCUCACGUUCGAAUCCACGAACGCUACAUUCCGAAUCCACGAAACGCCUCCACUUCGAAUCCACGAAGCUUUCGAUCCGAAUCCUCGAACCGCCUUCAAUCACACCGAAUCCACAACGCUAUCCAUGAAGAACAUCAUGAAUAUGGUAAUCCCUCGCUUAGAGUAUCGAUGAAAACCAGAGAAGAGAACUCUAAGCGAAGAGUAGAUCAAAUCGACAUAUAGAUAUCACAUUACAAUAUCUCGAUUUGACCUAGAAGAGGCUUCUUUGUAGAAAAUAGGUUUUUGACGAAAAACAAGCCUUCAGGGUUUCUCAAACAUGAAUUCUCGUGAUGCUUCAUCAGUUAGAGAACCCCAAUAGCUUAUUUAUAGACUUUAGAAUCAAUUGGAGUCGGAUUAGAAAGUUUUCGGAUUUUUUACAUUGUGUACCGGUACAAAAUUAAGGUGUUACCUGUUACACGAUGACAGAACAGAAAACAAUAAGCCUCGAAACCGGUUACAUGUUGAUGGUUGUACCGGAACAUGUUUUGUACCGGUACACUUCCGAUGUUGUAUCGGUACACAGUGCAUUUUCCAGAAUUUGCACUGUUUCGGGUUUCACAUAGCUCCGAGGCACUUUCUAAUCCAUUAAACUUUGAUAUUCAUGAUUCUAACAUCUAUAACUAAGUAUAAAUCACCAUAACAUGAAAUAAAACUUUACCUGAGUAUCGUGAUUCACGUCGUGUCACGCCCCGGAGUGCACAGUCCCCCGGGCACGCCGACAAAUCCGCCGUAUACAAGAGAAUUUCUCCGGUAUACGAAGCGUAGCUGUACCUGUAUAAACAUACAAUACUACAAGCAGUAGUAUAGAGCUGAAGUAAACUAUAAACAAGAAGGUAGAAAUAACAAACUUUAAGCAUACAACAGCCACGGAUAUAAAAGAACACUACUCGCUCCAGCGAGUUCAACUGUAAGAACAAAAGCGCCCGAACAAAAACUGUCACUACCUGCAGCGGGAGUCCUCUAGCACUGUACUCGAAGGGCAGGCUCUAGCUCGCCACGCCUUUCCCGCGGUCCGCCUCAGAAGGAGCAGCAGCCGAAACAGAAGGCCCUGCAACAACGGUGGAAGAAAGAGGGCGUGAGAACUACUAUAAAAACAAGUAGUCCUCAGUGGGUGCCGUCCUAAACAACAUCGGUCCACCCACUAAGUCUACAGGGUAAGCAAGAUAGAAGAAAAUGAAGCUGGAAACUCUCUACAGCUACAAGUCGCUAUGCUAUCAUGCCCAGAACUAACACCUAUAGACUCAAGUCAACCAGACCCAAUCUGAAGGGGACCGCGAACGCACCCGUCCCUGGGACUGUGAACGCACCCGUCCCGUGCCCGGUUGUGACUGCACAGCUACCCCCACUCUAAACCUCAGUGGAGAGCAAGUCUAACCUGCACUACCCGACACCGACGCGAAAGCACAAAGCCUAACUCCGGAGUGGCACUCGGGGGAGCUACCCAGCCGAGUAUGCAGCGUAGCUCUGUCGAGCUCAAUCAGGCCCUAACCAGCCAAACCCAAGUAACCAAAACAGACUUUGGGGCCCACCGCCUGCCCCGACGGCGCCCGACACCCCGUAACAGUCUACACUCAGCUAGUAUAAGCUCGGCGUCCCAGCACGAGCACAAACACAAGCUACACUACCCUGGGUAUCCAUCGCACAUAGCCCGCGACGAUACAAUGCAACAUGGCUCCUAGAGCUAAAUCCGGCAGUGUAUGUAAAUGACGAUCAACUCGGGAUUUUCUCCUAAGUCAAAUCCAAGUCCAACAAGUAUCAAUUAUCAUUACUCACUAAGCAUGCUCCCAAUUCAGGUUUUUAAUAUACUAAUCCAUGAAUUUGAGCUACCUCGUUUAGUGUUCAACGAACAAAGCAUACAAGUCGACUAAUAUGUACUUAGAGGCAAAACCGAUGAACCCACCUCUCUCAAGCAACUCCUGGCAGCGAAGAAAGUGGCCCGGAUUCAAAUUGAUCCCUCGCUGGUCCGUCGAAGUCCCCGGUUCCCCUGCUGCGAAGAGGUAAACCCAAUUACACUCAAAAUCACAAAAUCUGCCCAGAAAACAGCAGCGAAGAAAGCGUUAAAUCCGACCAAGCUAACCUUAUCCAAAUUCAGCAAACAAGGGUUCUGAAGCUUCGUCUCGAAGUCACGGAUCCAAUGGCCCAGGUUUCGCUGAAUUCCGACGCUCCUACGCAGAGAACGGGCCAGAAUACGAAACGUCGACGCUGGAACCUGCGAAACAGUAUCUCUGAAAUCUGCUCGGCAAACAGCAGCCUAGUAAAACUAGGGUUCGACAGGGCAAACCUGCUCCAAAAAUCACGAUCUUGGGCUCAGAAUCUUCGUCUCAAAGUCGCGAAUCUAGCACGCCAAAUUUCGUCGCGUUCCGACACUCCUACACAGAGAACUAGGUAAAACACGGCGGGUCGAUGCUGGAAUCAGCAAUCAGCACUUCAGAGUCUGCUCGGCAAACAGCAACUCAGUAAAAAGGGAUUUCGACAGAGCAAACCUUCUCCAAAUCGGGCGAGUAAGGAUCCUAUGAAUUCGUCUCGAAGUCUCGGUUCCAACGAAUCAAACCGCGUCACGUUCCGAUGCUCCUGCGCGGAAUACGAGUCAAAGCUCUGCGGGUCGACGCUGGAAUCAACAGCAGCAGCAGUGCAGUUCGAAAAUCGUAGAAGUUUAAAGCCAAAAAAAAAAAAGCGAUCUCGAGGAACCACUCACCUCGACAAACCCUCCCUGCGAGCAGCACCUCGUCGAAAACUCGCUCGAUCCGCUACGCGGCGCGUCGUCGACGAAGCUCGAGCUUCUCUUGAGCUCCUCCAACACUCUAGGUUGCUAAGGGAAGUAAAAGGAGAGGAAGAAGAAGCACAGCAACAGCAGCAGCAUGAAGGAGCUCCCCUCUCUCUCUCCUCUCUGCUCCAAGAUAAGGGUUAAAGGGGGGUGAUGUGACAAGAUGGCCAAAAAGUCAACUUGCACCCUGCUUCCACUUUGUACCGGUACAGCUCACUGAAAAUCUGCUAUUUCGCAGAUCUUCAAGAUACCCGCUGCUCUCAAGUUCCCACAAGGCCCGUUUGGCGUCCACUUCGCGCCAACGCGACCCGGACUUGUCCUGACACUCUCCAGAGCUGUCGACAAGCCUCAGCUAAAAUUCUAGGUCUCUACACGUCGUGAGAUAUUUCAGCUUUCCUCGAAAUCUUGGAUUCUUCGUUCUUCGACGAUACGCAUCGAUCCUUCAAGAUUUCGACUCAAUUCACGAAACUUGCCAACACACAAGACUUAACAUAGUGGCAUGUAGCUGUAGAGUUUUUCAGCUUCCUUUACUAUCUUUGAGCAUACUUUCUGUAGACUUAGCGGGUGAGCCGUUUAGGUCUGUAGCGCUACCAACUGAGGACUACUUCUUUUUGCAGUAGUUCUCACACCCAGUUGUUGACCCCUUUUUGCAAAGCCUUCGUCUUCGGCUGCUGGUGGUGCUGAUAUAGAUAGUGGAAAGGGAGUCGCGAGCUAGAUCCCUUCCAGACGUGUUUCAGAGCUAGAGGAGUUCCUCCCACAGGUAGUUUUUGGGUCAUUCGGUGUUCUUGUACAUACCUAUGUCUGUUGGCUCGCUGGAGCGAAUGGUGUCUGUAUUUUGGACUGUGUAUGUAUAGUGAACCUGGUUUUUAUUAUAUAUAUUUCUUUUAGCAGCUCUCUACCUUGUGGUUGUAGCUUGAUUGUGUUUACAGGUACAGUUAUCGCUUCGUAUACUAGAAAAUUUCUAAGUAUACGGCGAAUCUGUUGGCGUGCCCAAGGAAACGAGUAAUCCGGGGCGUGACAAUUUUUGUUAUUCCCACUUAUAUCCCAAACCAAAUGGGUUAGGGUUGAGUGGAUGGUUGGUUAAAUAGUAUGAUCUAAUAGAUGAAAAUAAUCAAAGAGGUAGAUCUAAUAGUGGAAAAUUUGAUAGCACCAAGCGCUUUAUGCUAUUGAUAGUAUAGUAAUUGGAUUCUCUCUCUCUUUCUCUCUCUCAUUGAUGCUAUUAGAUUUUCAAUCCUUGGAUGAUGGGAUGUGCGAUUAGAAUGACAGUGGUCCCCUCGGAUUGAGUGGAUGGUUGAUUGAAUAGUGCGAUGUCACGCCCUGGAUUACCGGGGAAACCAGAUUACCACGUUUCCUCGGACACGCCAAAAGACCUGUCGUAUACAUAGAAAUUUUUCGUGUAUAUGAAGAGAUAACUAUACCUGUAGAUAGAAUAUAGCUACACCAGAGGUAAAGAGCUGCUAUAACUAAAACAUGUAUAAAAACAUAGAGGGUCCACUAUACAUACAAAAGCCACGGAACAACCUCGCUCCAGCGAGUACAAUGACAUAACGGUAUGUACAUACAAACCCCAAAACUACCUCAGCAUGGUACUCCUCUAACAUAGCAACCAAGGAUGGUAGGGAUCUAGCUCGCGACUCCCUUAUCGCGGUUGAAAUCAGCAACAACAGCAGCAGCGGACGGCCCUGCAAAAAAAAAAGUGGCAACAACAGGGUGUGAGAACUACUACAAAAUAGAAUAGCCCUCAGUGGGUACCGUCACCGACCUUAACGGCCCAUCCACUAAGUCUACAGUACAAGUAAGACAAAAGUAGGUACAGGAUAGUAAGAAAGAUGAAAGAAACUCUAAAACUAUAUGCCACUAUGUUACCGCUAUUCAACCCAGACUCACUGUAGAUACAAAAAUACAUCACUAGCUACAUACUGACCUAAUCUCGAGGGACUGCCAACUGUCCCCAAUUUCGUAAAUUUAUUAUUGUAAACAUCACAUACACCUUUAAUUAUUAAAUUCUUUUCUCCAAUAACACUCUACUCAAAUACUUUGGGUGCUUAUCAAAUUUAAGAAGUAAAACUGUACAAAAGGGUUAAAAAAUCAAGAUGUUUAUCAAGUACAUUUACACUCAAAAAAUUCUCGGUUGGGACUUUCAUGAAAGAACAAUGCAACUGAGGGACGUUUUUUUAGUAGUUUAGAGACCUGUAUGGAAAUUACCCUAGAUGUCUUUUUCUGCAUAAUGUUGCAUGCUAAUGACAUUAUUAAUUUAUUUCGUUGUUUUUUUUAAUCUUUGAUUAGCGGUGGGAGUUCAUGUUGCCAGGUGACAGAAAAGUGAGUUCAAUACUAAAUUUCAGGAAAAAUUGCUCAAUGAUGAUUAUUAUCAAGAUGAACUGGCAAUGAAAAUAAGCAUGCGUAAUAACUUCUAAUGAAGAAAUAUGAUCAGGGUUUCGAGUUUGGGUAUAUGACAAGAGUAGAUGUUAUGAAUUACUUUAGACAAUAAAUAUUUAUGUCAACAGUGCGCUUCUAUGUUUAGCCUUUGUCUAUGUUUAUCGUUUGUUUGUUAAUAACAUGAGUUCAAAGGGGCUUGUGGGAAAUAUCAAGGAAGAUUCUUUUUUUCUUUUUCUUUUUUUUCUCCCUUUUCUUUCCCCUCGUCAUCGGGAGUGAGGUGUCCUCAACCAAUUUAUGCUAUGGAGCCAAAUCCGAGGAAUCCCUUUCCAUGGCUUCCUUUUAUUUUCUCCUAAUAUCUCGACAUGUUGUUUCAUUUUUGCGUUACUAACCGAUUACGAUGUGCAGGUCGACUCGAAGCGACGGAGAAGGUGACAUUUCUAGAGUAUUCAUCUUGCGCCGUCGUGAUGUAUAGAGUUAUGUAGUUCUCCGACACGGUGUACAUAACAUAGGGUACUUAAGUACACUGUUCCCGUUUGGUUCGGGUAUAAGCAAGAACUAGCUAUUACAGGGAUAGGUAUAAGUAUGAGGAUAAGAAAAAUAGUGUUUGGAUGAAAAUUGGAUUGUUCGGGGAUAAGAACAAUUUUAGAUAGUUUUAUAUAAAAAAUGGAGGUGUUGGUGGGAAUAACCGAGAACUACUAUUCUCAGGUAAAAAAUUAGCGUUUGGGUAUAAAGAGAGGAUAAGGGCCUAUUCCUAUCGCUAUCUCCUAACCAAACGCUUUAAUGUACAUCAGAGUAGUAGAUGGGGAAGGGUGCACCAAAUAUACAUGUAUAUACUGCUGGUUAUGUUCUAUCACUUUAUGCGUAUGCUGCGGACUGCUUGCGGUUGCUUGUUUAAUGACACUAGCUAAUAAUACUGACUGCAGUAACUCAUCUUGGGUUUGAGAAGUAUUUCAUUUCCUUUCUAUCGUUUCAUAAUAAAUCAUUAGAGCUAGAGAUGUGUGGGUUCUCUCGCAUUUUGAGCACGUUUGACUAGGACCUCGUUUCUUAUUGGGGAUAAUAAGAAAGAUUUUUAUUUUUAAUGGAGUUGCAGCAUUUUUUGAUGUAUUAUCUCUGUUUUAAAAAACUAAUAUGCAUGGAGAAUCAAAGAAAGGGCGAGGAGGGAGACGAACCGUGAGCGGCAGUGGAAAAAUUAAGGAUAUUUUGUUUAGUUUAUUAAAAUUUUAUGUCGAAUCUGCAAAUUCUAUAAUGUCGGUUAGUUUUUAUAAAAAUAAGAAACAAUGUGCAACGGUGAAAGCUACACGGAUGAUUAAGAUAAAGAAAAACAAUGACAGGCGGAAGGAGAAAAAAAUAUUUAUAUAACGAUCCGAUUUGCUAGUAAUAAUAAUUCGUUGGACCCGAUCUAUCGCAAAAUGUUUAAGCCCAGUUAUUAUUACUAGCGUGUGAGGUCUCAUAUAUUCUAAUUACAAAUUCUCCUGUUUAGUUCAUGACGUUCUCGCCAGAUCCAAACCCAAAUAACAGACAUUACCAAGUCAUUACUAAAUCCGUUGGUGUAGCACUUUGUACCGCAUAUCUCACUUAGCUUUUACACUUCCGGCUGGUAUUUGGCUCUGGUACCAAGUGUAACGACUCAACCCGCUAGUAAUAAUAACUCGUUGGACCUGAACCAUUAGCCCAAAAUACUUAAAUCCAGUUAUUAUUACUAGCGUGUGAGGCCUCAUAUAUUCUAAUCAGAAUUGUUUUUCCAUCUAAUGUGGUCAUAGCUGUGGAACUAGGUCCGGGCCUAAACAAGGCUUGACCCUAUGAGCCAUAUUUGGGCCGGGCUUCGGAUAUUAAAAAUAUAACUUUGGGUUCAGGCCGGGCUUAAAUAUUUAGGCCCGAAAAAAUUUUGGGCCUAUUUGGGCAUGUUCAAGCCCGACCUAAACCCGACCCAAAAUCUUGAUAUAUUAAUUAUCAAAAUAAAAUAUUUAAUUUUAUAUAUAUAUAUAUAUAUAUAUAUUAAUAAUAAUAUAUAUUUAUAUAUAUGAGGAUAUAUUAUAUAUUAACAAAAUAUUUAGUUCCAUAUUACGAUAUAUUAAAUAGUAUUAUUAUAUAUAUAUAUAUAUAUAAUUAAUAGAUAUAUGAGGAUAUAUUAUAUAUUAACAAAAUAUUUAGUUCCAUUUUACGAUAUAUUAAAUAGUAUUAUUAUAUGUAUUUAAUUAUCUAUGAGUAAACAUAUGAUAUAUAUUAUUAUAUAUACCUAAUUAGUUAUGUACAUAACACUUGUUAAAUAUAUAUUAUUUUAAAAUUUUUAAAAAAAUUAAUUAGACGUUAUAUGUACAUAACUUAAGGAUAAUUUUAAAAUUUUAAAAUACCACAAUGCUCUUUUAAAAAUGUAUAUAUGCCCUAAUUAAUUAAACAUUCUACCCACCCUCAUGUGAGAAGUUUCUAUCCUAUUAUUUACUUUGUAGGAUUGUUAGCAUCAGAGUAGGAGUGAAGAUGGCUGAAGCACAUAUUCUAUUUGUCUAAAUCUUAGUUUUAGUUUAUUUAUUUAUUUUGUUUGGUCUUAUUUCAUUGAUGGAUAAUUAUUGGUAGAUAUUAAUGGCAUUAUAUUUGAUGUUAGAUAUUAAUUUCUUUGAUGUGUUCAAACUCCAGUAAAUAUAUAAUCUAAUUUAAAACUUUCAAAACUACAUUCUUAAUGGAGUCAAAAAUUUUCCUGUAAACAAAAGCAAGGAAAUAUGGCCCUAAGGCCAAUUUAUCGCCGUUAGAUGGCGAUCGGAACAAAAUCUCGGUUAAUUUUCUGCGAACGAGUGCAGAAAAGAUUGUGAUAUAACUAGUAUAGAAGGAACGCCGUGUGUUCCUUCCUGGUGACCGGGGCAGGGGUACUUGUGAGAUCCCUGGUGUUUGACUGUGGAAGCUUGUCGACAGCUCUGGAGAGUGUCGGGACAAGCCCGAGUCGCGUUGGCGUCAAAUAGACGUAAAACGGACUCCGUCGGACGCGAGAGCAGCCUUCAGCGAAGAAAAAUCUGCGAAAUAGCAGAUUUUCCUGCUUGUUGUACCGGUACAGCCAUCAUGGCGUACCGGUACACUAUACUGAUGCCGCGUAAUCUGCUCUCGGGUUGCUUCCUGUACCGGUACGCAAUCCCGUGUACCGGUACACCAGGGUAGGUGAGAGGGUGUUUUGGUCUUUUCUCUCCCUCGUUUGUAUCACCAAGCCUCUCUCUCUCUAUUUAGCCUUGUGAGGACAGAGAGAGGGAGUUCCUCUGUUGCUACUUCCUCUCUCUCACUCUCCAACAGAUCUUAGGCUAGGGAGGAGCACGGUUGAGCCGGGGAUUCGCCGACGUCGCACCGCGAGCCGUUCGAGCGAGCGUUUGUUGCCGGGGCAUUGCGAAGAGGCCGGGCGAGGGUGCGUCUUCGCCGUCCUGGACAUCGCGCCGAGGAUUGUCGCUGUNNNNNNNNNNNNNNNNNNNNNNNNNACGGGUGUGUUCACAGUCCCAGGGACGGGUAUGUCUACAGUCCCGAUUGGAUUGGGUCAGAUUUGACAUUUCCUACAGUUGGUUAGUGUAGAGCAUGAUAGUAUAGUGAUUUGUAGCGGUUGAGUUUGUUUCCUGCUUUUCCUACUAUUCUUGCUCCCUCCUGUAGACUUAGUGGGUGGACCGAUGUUGUUUUGGGCGGUACCCACUGAGGACUACUUAUUUUUAUAGUAGUUCUCACGCCCAGUUGUUACCCCUGUUUUGCAGAGCCACAGGUUUCGGCUACUGCGCCUUCCGCAGAUCAGGAUCGAGGCAAAGGCGUCGCGAGUUAGAGCCCUACCCGACGUGCUGAGCUAGAGGUGCCCCUACUGCAGGUAGAUGUUUUGUUCGAGUUUAUGUACAUAGUGGACCUAACUCGCCAGUGCGAGUAGCUUUGUAUAUUGGAUUUGGACUAUGUAUAUGAAACUCAGUUGGUUUAGUUUCUGUUUCUCUAGCAGCUCCCUACUACUAUUCGUAGUAGUGUUUGAUUUACAGGUACAGCUAUCGCUUCGUAUACAGGGGAAAUUCCUUUGUAUACGGCGGAUUUGUCGGCGUGCCCGGGGAAAGUGUAAUCCGGGGCGUGACAGUACUGCAAACUUUCGAAGAAAUUUAGAAUAAGCCAAGUCAUUUAGAUCAAGGUGUGCCUCAAAAUCAGACACACCAUCAGGAUUGUAGGUCAUAGAGAAGGAAACGCCAUGAGGGCGUAAGCCUACAAUGGCGGCUACAUCAAAAAGAGUGGGGGUAAGAGGCCCUCUUUUGAAAAGAAAAACAUUAGAAACAGGGGACCAGAAACAAAGAGCGGCAGCUAGAAGAAGAUUAUCGGCUAUAGGAGGGUGCUGAGAUAAUUGAAUUGCUUCAUAAAUGCCGAUUUCCCGCCAAAAGGCGCCAAAAACGGGUUCUACUCUAUCUAACCAGGCCAAAUAUGCUUCGGAAACGCUUGGCCAAGUUCUAAGACUCUUUCCUCUCGAAGCUGAUGAGUACCAAGAGUGGAGAUGAAUAAUCCUCUUCAAAGGAAGUCCCUUAUCAGAGAAAGGAGAGUCAGUAGGAGAUGGUGCAUCUAUAAGAGAAUGACCUAAUAUGAAUCUAGAUGGAUCUAAGUCAACGAAAGGUUUGAGUACAGUAUAGUCAAGAGAUGGAUGAGAAGGAAGAGGAGGAACCAAAGACAUCGUUCAAAAGAAGAGAAGAGCCGAGAGAGUCGGUUACGAAAAGCAAAGAAGAAUGAAGGAGACUAAGAAGAGGUUUUAGUAAAGAAGACGAAGAAAAGGAACAAGAAUUAGAAGAGACAAAAAGAAUGGAAAGCUUGGGGAAGAAGAAGAGGCCGUUGUAUUGAAUUGACGCAUCGAUUACGAGUCCCAAGAUCGGCUAUAAUUGUAGUAUCCUUAUUUCUUUAUCUUUUCUUUUCCUUUUUCUUUUUAUUUCUUUUGAGUUGGUAAGCAUGCUGGGGAUAAGGAUGCCACGUGCACCUUACCCCCAAGCAUGCUUAUCACCUUAAUACUUGUGCAUAGUUUAUAUAUAAUUCUUGAGCCUCUACGCAUAUAGUUCUUGAGCCGUACGUAGAGGAGGAGCUCAGGUGGUGUGGAGUUUCGUCGACGUCGCGCAGCGGUGCCGUUCGAGCGUGUGUUCGUCGUCGUAGCAUCGCGAGGGGGGCCGGGCGAGGGUCCGAUUCUGCCGUUUUUGUUGUCGCGCCGGAUUGUGAUUAGCGUUUGAGGUGGGUUACAUCGGUUUUACUCCUAAGUUCUUAUUGGUCGACAUGUAUAGAUCUUGAUUUCGGUCAUUAAUUUAGCUCAAAUUCAUGGACUAUAUGUAGAUUGUGAAAUCUGAAUUUUGGAGCAUAUUUUAUAAAUUAAGUAGAUCAUACAUAUUGGACUUGGAAAUUGAAUUAGGAGAAAACCUACGAUUUGGACCUGUCACCAGUUUUAACUACCUGAUUUAGCUCUAGGAGCCGUUAGAAAAUUGUACUGUCGCAGUUAUUCGAGACGAGUACUCCAGGUAGUUUAGAAUGUAUUUACACUCGUGCUCGUCCGCCGAGUGGAUUUUUACAGGGUCGUUCAGGUUGUUUCGGACUGUUGGGUGCCGUCAGAGUUGACGGUGGACCCGUAUCGCCUUUUUGGGCGUCAGAUUGUGCCGAGGGCACUUACCUGUUGGUUGUUAGACCAUUUUGAGUCGAUUACUUGACUUUGGCUAGUUGGAGCCUGUUUGAGCUCGACAGAGAUACGCUGCAUACUCGGUUGGGUAGCGCCCACGAGUGCCACUCCGGAGUCAGGCUUGUGCUUUCGCGUUGGUGUCGCUCAUGCCAGUUGGACUUGCUCUCCACGGACCAGUUGGUGUGGAGGUAGCUGGAUAGUCGCAACGGGGCAGGGACGGGUGUGUUCACAGUCCCAGGGACGGGUAUGUUUAUAGUCCCGAUUGGAUUGGGUCAGAUUGACAUUUUCUACAGUUGGUUAGUGUAGAGCAUGAUAGUGUAGUGAUUGAUAGCGGUAGAGCGUACUUCCUGCUUUUCCUACUAUUCUUGCUCCCUUCUGUAGACUUAGUGGGUGACCGAUGUUGUUUUGGGCGGUACCCACUGAGGACUACUUGUUUUUACAGUAGUUCUCACGCCCAGUUGUUACUCUUGUUUUGCAGAGCCAUAGGUUUCGGCUGCUGCGCCUUCCGCGGAUCAGGAUCGAGGCAAGGGCGUCGCGAGUUAGAGCCCUACCUGACGAGCAGAGUUAGAGGCACCCCUACUGCAGGUAGAUGUUUUGUUUCGAGUUUAUGUACAUAGUUUACCUAACUCGCCAGUGCGAGUAACUCUGUAUUUUGGAUUUGAGCUAUGUAUAUGAAACUCAAUUUGUUUAGCUUUUGUUUUCUCUAGCAGCUCUAUACUACUGUUUGUAGUAUUGUAUGUUUACAGGUACAGCUGUCGCUUCGUGUACAGAGAAAACUCCUUUGUAUACGGCGGGUUUGUCGGCGUGCCCGGGGAACGAGACAUCCGGGGCGUGACAAUAAUGAUGAAUAGACAGCGGCAAUUAAGAUGAUUUAAUUACUGCCGCACACGAGACAAAAGUAGAGAAUACGAUUAGGGCCGUAAAGAAGAGAAUAAACGGCUUAGAUUAAACCGUACAGAAGAUCGUGGCGCAGAAUACGUCAGAGAAUUUGAAUUUGAUUGGACCGGAAAAUACGCCUCGGAUUAAG